Molecule: transfer RNA, 76 nt
Filed under: Ruminococcus sp.
Lineage: Bacteria; Bacillati; Bacillota; Clostridia; Eubacteriales; Oscillospiraceae
Description: tRNA-Leu
Rfam family: tRNA
About the family: Transfer RNA (tRNA) molecules are approximately 80 nucleotides in length. Their secondary structure includes four short double-helical elements and three loops (D, anti-codon, and T loops).
Source: RNAcentral
GCUCUCGUAGCCCAACGGCAGAGGCAGCGGACUUAAAAUCCGUAUAGUAUGAGUUCGAAUCUCAUCGGGAGCACCA